RNAcentral lists this ribosomal RNA (301 nucleotides) under uncultured bacterium. Its description in RNAcentral is "partial 16S ribosomal RNA". It matches the Rfam family "Bacterial small subunit ribosomal RNA", at positions 509 to 807 of the family's 1533-position model. The record is from RNAcentral.
CAGCAGCCACGGGAAUACGAAGGGGGCUAGCGUUGUUCGGAUUUACUGGGCGUAAAGGGCGCGUAGGCGGACUGAUAAGUCAGGGGUGAAAUCCCAAGGCUCAACCUUGGAACUGCCUUUGAUACUGUUUGUCUUGAGUUCGAGAGAGGUAAGUGGAACUGCGAGUGUAGAGGUGAAAUUCGUAGAUAUUCGCAAGAACACCAGUGGCGAAGACGGCUCACUGGCUCGAAACUGACGCUGAGGCACGAAAGCGUGGGGAGCAAACAGGAUUAGAUACCCCUGUAGUCCCUGUCUCUUAUAC